CUACGGGGCGCACCAGUAGGGAAUCUUCCACAAUGGGCGAAAGCCUGAUGGAGCAACGCCGCGUGAGUGAAGAAGGUUUUCGGAUCGUAAAACUCUGUUGUAAGGGAAGAACAAGUACAGAAGUAACUGGCUGUACCUUGACGGUACCUUAUUAGAAAGCCACGGCUAACUACGUGCCAGCAGCCGCGGUAAUACGUAGGUGGCAAGCGUUGUCCGGAAUUAUUGGGCGUAAAGCGCGCGCAGGCGGUCCUUUAAGUCUGAUGUGAAAGCCCACGGCUCAACCGUGGAGGGUCAUUGGAAACUGGGGGACUUGAGUGCAGAAGAGGAAAGUGGAAUUCCAAGUGUAGCGGUGAAAUGCGUAGAGAUUUGGAGGAACACCAGUGGCGAAGGCGACUUUCUGGUCUGUAACUGACGCUGAGGCGCGAAAGCGUGGGGAGCAAACAGGAUUAGAUACCCCUGUAGUC
Molecule: ribosomal RNA, 464 nt
Filed under: uncultured bacterium
Lineage: Bacteria
Description: partial 16S ribosomal RNA
Rfam family: Bacterial small subunit ribosomal RNA
Source: RNAcentral